Molecule: long non-coding RNA, 481 nt
Organism: Oreochromis aureus
Lineage: Eukaryota; Metazoa; Chordata; Actinopteri; Cichliformes; Cichlidae
Source: Ensembl
GGCAGGAGCGUGAGGUGAACUGAAUUUCAGUGCACUUCGGGUGUCAUUGUCCCCCAUUUCGCCCAGGUGGGACCGUCUCGUUGCAGAGAAACAAGCACAGGGCUCUCACUGAUUGAGCGUUAUGACAAAAAUGACUCCAAGAUUCCUCACAGUGUUCCUGAAGGCCAAGGUAAUGCCAUCCCAAUUCCUGUCAGUGGAGGAACUCUUAUUCCCCUGAUAUCGCCCCACAGAAUGCUUGCUUGUAGCUGAGCACUGAGCCUCAUCAAUGGAGCCAUUGUCAACUGGCAGCCUGUGCACAUGCUGUAAAACCUGAAGUGCCAAAAGGUAUGAGAUAAAAUACUUGUAGUGAAAACCUUUGUCCACAAUUCUAUGAAUUUGGUGUGUUUGGUGACAACAUGACUGCUCCUCAUAAUCUGCUACCAAACUGUUAUAGUAGCAGUAACUUCAGACAACACAAUAUGGAUAUGCAAAAGAGGCCACC